This is a non-coding RNA of Cyanistes caeruleus (blue tit), 2681 nucleotides long. Lineage: Eukaryota; Metazoa; Chordata; Aves; Passeriformes; Paridae. The record is from RefSeq and is a predicted model, not a curated record.
UUACAAACUUAAAAUAGAAUAAAAUAUAGGUUAUAACAAGAGUUACCUAAAAGCUCAUUGGACUUCAUUUCCCUCUGUUACACUAUGAUGUGAGAAUGAAAUGAUGGAACCACAUACAUAAAAGAGCCUCUCCUGAACAUUUCUUUUACCCAAAUUCAGACCUUGUAUUUGACAUGAAUGUCAUGGUCUUUACUGAACAAAUCUUGCCCAAAAAGUUCAGGCUCUGUCUUGCACAAGCAUAAAAUUAAAUUAUAACCAACACUUCAUAAACUAGUAAGCUUACACCGUAUCCUGCUUCUUUUUCCUGAAAAAGCCAGGAAAGCAAAUACCCAUUUGGACAUAAAAGUAGGUUUGAGAUAGCUACAAGAAAGAUUUCCUGGGCAAACCGAGGAAUCUUCUUCAUUUGUGGUCAGUUAAUUCUCCUUUCCCAUAAACACCAUAGCUGGGGUCAGCUAUAGAAGAAAACAGUUAUUGAAAUCUGCUUUGUUUUUCAGAGAAUGUCUCAUCUUGGUCAGUAACACUCAGGACUUUUAUUUCGUGCUGCAAAAGCAGCCUGGAUAGAAGCUGACUGGGGAGGUAGAAAGCAGAUAUUUUCUUUAGUUCCAGUUUGCUGGUUAUUGCAUGGCAAUCAGCAGAUCCCAUUUUGCCUUAUGAUUUCAAAGUGAAAUUUUACUUGAGUGGAGCCUAAUCUGUGCUUGAGUGUAGUGAAUGACCUGAGCAAGCACAGACAGAACUUCACACCGCAAGGAAUAGCCUCCCAUGAGCUGUUAAGAGAUGCAGUUGUUGAAAUCAAACACUGGAAGCAAUUUUUAAAUGCCCAAAGAUGGAUUAUUCAAACUUUAAAAGCCCAGCUUCACUACAGUGUGGCAUAGUUGCUGAGUGUUGCAGUGUGGUGUGAGAAUGCAGAACAUUUCCCUGCAACAAUCCCAUCUCCUGGGCUCUCCAGUGCACUUGUUUUACAGCGAUUAAGGGACUGAGAGCUGCACUCUGUUUAAUUUUGUUUCCUGAAGGCACAGACUGAAGCAAUAUUAGAAGCAGACUGCACUGGCCUGUAGAAAACUCACAUUGUUGGAUUUCUUUUCCCCCACUGCUUGCCAAAGCCUCUGACAUCAACUUUAACCCAACAGGGAGCCAGAGGAAGGAGAGGGAGGUGCAAUGGCAGAUGGCAACCCACAAGGAGGCGAGAACUGCAUACUGCACUUUGGCACUCUGUGACAAGGACAACUUUACAGUAACCUAGUUUGCUUAUAAAUUGAAUGAGGAUUAUUUGCUAUUUCCACCCUCCCCUUCCCCCCACCAUGUUUGGUCAGAUCACUGCAAGAUGGGCAAAAAAAAUAUCUAAUUAAUUAAUUGACUUAGCUCUGGCAAGCUGUAUUUCUAAUAGUGGGAGGACAGAAGAGAACUGAUUUUAAUAUAGUUUAUCCAGAUGUAUUUCAAGCUUUGAUACAGUUUCAAUGUACAUGAGCAGGAGGGCAAAUAUGAAUACCCAGUAAAGCAGUAGUGAGUUUCUCUAUUACCUGUCCUCAGUGCCCUGGAAAUCUGCAGAAAUUCAAGAGAGGUUUUGCUAUGCUUUCUGCUUGUCUUUGCCUUCAAACAAAACCAUGUUCAAUGGAGACAGAUAACAGGAUUUCCCCUAGGAAUGCACUGAAAUACUGUUAUGUCUUUGCCUGUUCUUGGCUGAUUGAGAUAUUAAUUAAUUAUAUGAAUAAGCCUAGGAAAAUAAAGAAAAAUCACUGGUAGCUGUGUUGAAGAGAUGCCAAUUUUUAACAAGCAGCGUCUGGUGCUUUCCGGGCCACUCCACGCAUGUGCAUUCUGUAGAGAACAAUGAGCUUGCACUCUGUUUGCUUCUGGGAAUGCAUAUUUAGUAACAUUCCCUCUCUUCCCCCUCUGCCUGAGGUGGGUCACCAGGACAUAAGCUUCAUUCACAAAAAGACAUCCGAGCUUCAUCCAGCUCCUCUCUGGCGAUGACUGCAGCUUUCAUCCACGUGUAGCACGGUGGCUCCUCUCCCGCAAAGCUCACAGACACGGUGGCACACGGGGACAUAACCAUGACAAGCCCUACUGAUUUCACAAGCCUGUUAUUCUAAGACAGCAGAGCAGGUGAAUCGCUGUCCUCGGGGCUGUGGCCCUCCCUUGUGUUCUGUAUUCUUUAGCCAGCGGGCAGCGCUGACACGGCCUUGCGUGACACAAUGGGAUAUUAACGUGUGUGAAGAGCUCGGCGUUGAACCACGCACACAACGGCCUAUAUAUAGCCAGAGGUAGCAGCUUUCUGAAUCAGGAUGGCUAUUGUUGUGCCCGAUAGCAUUGGGGAAUGAAGAACUCAGUGGCUGUGCACAGAGAAUGCAUGGCUCAGGUUGUUGAAGGAUUUGUGUUUCCCUCUGGCCCUGCUCUUCACUGGGUUUGUUGGAUGGAUACAGCUGCAUACAGCUGUGAUGGUCACGGUCCGAGGCAUCUUCCUCGUCCUGCCCCAGAGGAGAUAUACUGUAUCAGGUGGUGCUAAUGCAUGGACUGAAGGCCCCUUUGGUCACCCUUCUUCUCUGGCUCAGUAGGCCCAUGGCAGGGUUUAGAGGGUUUUUCAAGUGCCAAGCAUGAGAAUGGUAAAAUAAUAGAAAAAUACAGAACAUAGUCUCUGUGCUUUCUUUUCUGUUUUUUACCUUUAUCUAGUGAUCUGUAGAGAUGAG